GACGAACGCUGGCGGCGUGCUUAACACAUGCAAGUCGAACGGAAAGGCCCUGCUCUUGUGCGGUGCUCGUGUGGCGAAAGGGUGAGUAACACGUGAGUAACCUGCCCUUGACUUUGGGAUAACUUCAGGAAACUGGGGCUAAUACCGGAUAGGAGCUCCUGCUGCAUGGUGGGGGUUGGAAAGUUUCGGCGGUUGGGGAUGGACUCGCGGCUUAUCAGCUUGUUGGUGGGGUAGUGGCUUACCAACGCGUCGACGGGUAGCCAGCCUGAGAGGGUGACCGGCCACAUUGGGACUGGGAUACGACCCAGACUCCUACGGGGGGCAGCAAUGGGGAAUAUUGCACAAUAGGCGGAAGCCUUAUGCAGCAACUCCGCGUGGUAAAUAACUGCCUUCGGGUUGUAACCCGCUUUCGCGUGUGACGAAGCGUGAGUGACGGUAAUGAGUAAAGAAGCAACGGCUAACUACGUG
RNAcentral lists this ribosomal RNA (468 nucleotides) under uncultured bacterium. RNAcentral describes it as "partial 16S ribosomal RNA". It matches the Rfam family "Bacterial small subunit ribosomal RNA", at positions 28 to 507 of the family's 1533-position model. The record is from RNAcentral.